UGCUAAUUAAUGACAUGUCCAAGU
Molecule: non-coding RNA, 24 nt
Filed under: Arabidopsis thaliana (thale cress)
Lineage: Eukaryota; Viridiplantae; Streptophyta; Magnoliopsida; Brassicales; Brassicaceae
Source: RNAcentral